Long non-coding RNA from Coturnix japonica (Japanese quail), 1114 nucleotides. RefSeq lists it as uncharacterized. The record is from RefSeq and is a predicted model, not a curated record. NCBI's taxonomy places the organism in Eukaryota, Metazoa, Chordata, Aves, Galliformes, Phasianidae.
GCUGGGAGGGCUGAGCUGUGCCCCAUGGAGAUGAAAGGGCUGAGCUGUGCCCCAUGGAGCUGGGAGGGCUGAGCUGUGUCCCAUGGAGGCACAGGCUCAGCCCCUGCCCUGCAUGGAGAUUCUGGCCCUGGGGGAUGCUGGUGUUGCAGUGGAGCAGCUCCCAUAGGUGCAGCCUGAGACCCCCACCCUGCAGUUCAGGUGGGUAGAGCAGGGUGGGCGGCUGCAGCAGCUGGGAUGCUUCAGCCCAUGGGGACCCGUAGGGGACGUAGCCCCACGCUGUGCCUGCAGGAAGGAGUGAAGUGCACAGCAGAGCUGGCGAGAGCCCAAUCCCAACAGCUCUUAAACACUUCUUUUGCCCAGAAAAAGAAGUAGAACCAGUUAAGUGGGAAAUGAAGCUGGGAUUUCAUCAUUACGAUUAUCUUCUGCUCCUAUUCCCCGCCUGAGUUCUUACAAUAGGAGAAAGUAACAGGCUGAGCUUAGAGGUGAUUCUGUGCUCAUCUAUGGAGGAGACAAAGGCAGGGACUGACAGGGGUGAUAAUGCUGAACCCGGGUUGGGUGCUGGUAAAAGACAACCAGAGCGGUGCAAACAGAGCAGCUACAUCAACCAGAGCUGCACAGAGCAGCCACAUGCAGCAGCGGAGCCGCUAAGCAUCAAAGGCAGUAGAUAACUUCGGUCUCCUGUAUCAGCCUUGGGUUUCUUCCUAUUGGGAGAGCAGUCAGAGCCCAGGGAAGACAUCUGGGUUGUGGCUCUGGGGGCUCCUGGAACACAGACCUGCCCUGUAAUGCAGCAGGAAUCCUCGAUGGGUUUUCCUCCAUGGCUUUCUGCAAUGGCUUUUGGCACCAAUACAAACUUCCAGCUCCGUCCUGCAGCAGGGAGCCCCUCAGCUCUGCUGCCCAGUAAAACACUUCCUUCAACCCAAUGGCUUCUGCCAUAGCCCUGGUCCAUGUGGUGAACACACAACCGUGUCCCCACCACCAGCCACCGCAUCCUCCACCUCUUGGCCACCUCUUCCAGCCCACGGAGCCCACUCAGUCCUUCCCUGUGCUGCAUCGUUCCUGUGCUUGUCUGAUUUCUCACGAUGUGGGACAAUAAAAUGUGACCGUGAACACCUCA